RNAcentral lists this ribosomal RNA (468 nucleotides) under uncultured bacterium. Its description in RNAcentral is "partial 16S ribosomal RNA". It matches the Rfam family "Bacterial small subunit ribosomal RNA", at positions 28 to 507 of the family's 1533-position model. The record is from RNAcentral.
GACGAACGCUGGCGGCGUGCUUAACACAUGCAAGUCGAACGGUGAAGCUCCAGCUUGCUGGAGUGGAUCAGUGGCGAACGGGUGAGUAACACGUGAGCAACCUGCCCCUGACUCUGGAAUAAGCGCUGGAAACGGCGUCUAAUACUGGAUACGAGAAGGGUCCGCAUGGGCACUUUCUGGAAAGUUUUUCGUUUGGGGAUGGGCUCGCGGCCUAUCAGCUUGUUGGUGAGGUAAUGGCUCACCAAGGCGACGACGGGUAGCCGGCCUGAGAGGGCGACCGGCCACACUGGGACUGAGACACGGCCCAGACUCCUACGGGAGGCAGCAGUGGGGAAUAUUGCACAAUGGGCGAAAGCCUGAUGCAGCGACGCCGCGUGAGGGAUGACGGCCUUCGGGUUGUAAACCUCUUUCAGCAGGGAAGAAGCGAAAGUGACGGUACCUGCAGAAGAAGCACCGGCUAACUACGUG